RNAcentral lists this long non-coding RNA (4635 nucleotides) under Gallus gallus (chicken). Lineage: Eukaryota; Metazoa; Chordata; Aves; Galliformes; Phasianidae. The record is from RNAcentral.
CUCCCAUGGGAAGAACCCAACAUUUUUAAUUUGGGAGGGGAGGUUCACCUGUCUUUUCAGACGGUCUCCCUGGAAUAGAAAGAGAAAAGCAGUGCAUGGUUAGAGGGGAUUUUUCAUCCAAUAAGUAGUCCUUUAUGAAGACCCCAAAUUCCCUCAGUUCAAUGACUGCAACUUACUCAACAGUGAUUUCUGCAUCUCUGCAAAAAAGAAAGAAAAAACACCACAUGAUGAGGUGGGACAGCUUGUCAUCGCAUGGGAAACCCCAUUUUCCUUUGGUUCAGGUAUGAAGACUCACCCAAUUCUUCUGUUUGUUCCUCUGGAAAGAGAAAAUCAAUGCAUGAUGAGGGGAACAUCUCAUCUCACAGCUCACAGAGGCUUAUCCAUUUUUUUUUUUUUUUUUUUAACUUGCGGGGUGGACUCACCUGAUUCUGCAGCUUGUUUCUCUGCCAAAGAAACAAAUAAGACAUACAUGAUGUGUGAAAUAAAACAAUAAUGAUGAGAUAUUAAACAAUGCACGAUGAGAGAAACAUCUCAUCCACAGCUCACACAGGAAAACCACAGCAGUUUUAUUUUGGGAGUGAAGACUCACCUAUGUCUUCAUAAUGUAUGUGUGGAAAAGAUAGAUAAAAUAAGUGCAUGGUUUGAGGGGAUUUUAAUUCUUCAUUUCUGAGGGGUGACUCACCUGAUUCUGCACCAAGCUUCUUGGCUAUCGAAACACAUUAGAAACGGAUAAUGAGUAGGAUGAGAUUAUCAUCCCAUGGCUGAUCCCAUGGGAAGACCCCAUAUUUGUUCAGUGUAGGUAGGGAGACUUACUCAGAUCUGCAGCACUUAAAUCUGCAAAGGAAAAGCGGUAACAAUAUUUAAUGAGGGGAACAUCUCAUCCCACUGCUCCCACUGGAUGACCCCAACAUUGUAAAUUUGGGAGAGGAGACUCACCCAUCUGUUCAACUUCCUCCUCUGGCAAAGAGAGAGAAAAGCAGUGCAUGGUAAGAGCAGAUUUUUCAUCCCAUACGCAGUCCCGUGGAAAGACCCCAAAUUCCCUCAGUUUAGUGACUGCAACUUACUAAAACCUGAAUUAUCUUUCUCUGUAAAAAAGAAAGAAAAAGCACCUCAUGAUGAGGUGGGACAGCUUGGCAUCCCAUGGGAAACCCCAAAUUCCUUUGGUUUGGGGAAGAAGACUCACCCAGUUUUUCAGUUUGUUUCACUGGAAAAGAAAGAAAAGCAACACAUGAUGAGAGGAACAUCUCAUCCCACAGCUCACACAGGCAGAUCCCUUUGUUUUUACUUUAGGAGGGAGCACUCACUCAGUUUUGCAAUUUGUUCCUCUGCAAAGGAAACAAACGAGAAAUGUGUGAUGAGAAGGGUCAGGUUAUCAUCUCAUGGCUGAUCCCAUAGGAUGACCCCAUAUUCCUUCAGUGUAUGGAGGGCGACUUACUCAGAUCUGCAGCACUUAAAUCUGCAAAUGUGAAGCAGAAACAGUGAAUGAUGAGAAGAACAUCUCAUCCCACAGCUCACACAGGCAGAACCUAAUUUCUCAUUUUGAUUUUGGAGGGAACACUCACCCAGUUUUGCAGCUAGUUUCUCUGCAAAAGAAGCAAAUAAGAAAUGCAUGAUGAGAGGGGUCAGUUGAUCAUCCCAUGGCUGAUCCCAUGGGAAGACUCCAAAUUCCUUUGGUAUAGGGAGGGAGACUUACUCAGAUCUGCAGCAUGUGAAUCUACAAAGGAAAAGUAGAAACAGUGCAUGAUGAGAGGAACAUCUCAUCCCACAGCUCACACAGGCAGACCCCAGUGUUUUUAAUUUGGCCUGGGAGACUCACCCAUCUCUUCACUGUCUUUCUCUGGAAAAGAAACAGAAAAGCAGUGCAUGGUUAGUUGUGUUUUUUCAUCCCGUUCUCAGUCCCUUGGGAAGACCCAAAAUUCCUUGUUUAUUGACUGCAACUUACUUAUCUGUGAAUUCUGUUUCUCUGGGAGAAAAAAAAAAAAAAAAAAAAAAGAAAGAAAAGAAAAGAAAAAAGAAAGAGAAAGGAAUCCAUGAUGAGGUGGGACAGCUUGUCAUCCCAUGGGAAACCCUGCAGUCCUUUGGUUUGGGAAAGAAAACUCACCCAAUUCAGUUAUUCCCACUGUAAAAGGAAGAGAAAAGCAGUGCAUGAUGAGGGGAACAUCUCAUCGACAGCACACAGGCAGACCCACUUUUUAUUUAAUUUCGGUGGGAGGACUCACCCAGUUUUCCAGCUUGUUCCUCUACAAAAUAAACAAAUAACAAACGCAUGAUGAGAAGGGUCGGAUUGUCAUCCUGCGACAGAUCCCAUGGGAAGACCCCAAAUUCCUUCAGUGCAGGGGCGAAACUUACUCAGAUCUGAAGCACUUGAAUCUGCAAAAGAAAAGCAGAAACAGUGCGUGAUGAGAGGAAGAGCUCAUCCACAGCACACAGAAGAAGUUUUAAAAAAACUUCUUUUUUUAAAUUGGGGUGGGAGGACUCACCCAGUUUUGCAGCUAGUUUCUCUACAAAAGAAACAAUUAUGAAAUGCAUGAUGAGAAGGGUCAGAUGAUAAUCCCACAGCUGAUGCCAUGGAAAGACCCCAAAAUCCUUCCAUGUUGGGAGGGAGACGUACUCAGCUCAGCAGCAUGUAAGCCUGCAAAGGAAAAGCAGAAACUCUGUGUCUAAAGAGCAGAAACUCUCUGUCUGUAUCUAGCAAAUUAACACGGGGAAGGGAGACUCACGUGAUAUUGUAGCUUGUCCCACUGGAAAAGAAAGAGAAGGGCAGUGCAUGUUAAGAGGGGACAGCUGCUCAUCCCAUGGCUAAUACCAUGGGCGACUCAGACUUAACUCAGGAUGGGGAAGGAGACUUACCCAACUCUGCAUCUUUUCUCUCUAGAAAUUAGAAGCAAAGGAAAUGCAUGGUCAGAGGGAAAACCUUCUCACCCAAUGGCUAAUGCCAUGGGGAGACCCUGAAUUCCCUCACUGUGGGGAAAGACACUUACCCAACUCUGCAUCUUUUCUCUCUGGAAAAUAGAAGCAAAGGAAAUGCAUGGUCAGAGGGAACACCUUCUCAUCCAAUGUCUGCUCCUAUGCCCAGACCCCAAAUCUUUUUGUUCUGGUAAGUGGCCAGUGAUCACUUCAGUAAGAAGAAGGAAUUAAAUCAAUAGAAAGAAAGUGAUUGGGCAGGAGUUUUGCACAUGGAUCAAUCAGGAUCGACACAUCCCACAACCCAACUGCAUCCCAUGAACCCAACACAUCCCAAGGCCCCAAAGAUCCCAGGUUCCCUGCACAUGGCAUAAACCCAGCACUCUGCAGUCUUCUAUCAGUUCCAUUAAAGGGACUUUGUUGUUGGAAAGGAAUGGUAGGACUCACUCAGCUUUCUGCUCAGUGCCACUGGAAAACAAAGCGGAAGAAGGGGUGGUCAGCAGGGCAGCUUGGUUACUGGUGAUGUCUCAGGAGUGUCUGGACCUUUCCACCUGCUCCAUGGUCGACCCACGUUCCUAUCUUCCCACCCACACCACUUUCCUUUUUCCCCUUCCUUCAUUCCCAAAAAGAAAGGCAAAAGUUAUUUAAUGAGCACUGGGAAUCUCAGGAAAAAUCUCCCUUCCUCCUCCUGUAUACCUCCGUGGACCAGAGCUCAGCACCACCCCAACCAUCCCUGUCCAUGCACAACACCUCCCUGUGCUCCAUCUGCUCUGCUCUCAGCUCACCUUUCUUUCUAUAGAGAAAGACAUUGAUGACGACACAUGACCCAACCAGAAGGGUGGUGACCACAGCCAGAGCCACCUUCCAGGGACGGACUAUUUGGGAAAAGGGAUCUGUAAAAAACAUCAGGACAAGGGUUAUUUUUCCAUUGCCUUCUGUGGACAAGCACGACUCAGCCUUGGGACAUCACAGAAUCUGAAUGGUCAGCAAGCAGGGAGCAGUGAUAUACAAUGGCAGCAUCCCCAGCUUGGCAUAGAUGGAGGAGCUGCUGAGCAUCGUGUGCCCACUGCCACUGAGACAUGGAGAAACCCAUCCCAGAAACCCAACCCAACCACCUCAUCCAUGCAGACCCAUCCCCAAAUCACACCGUGCACCCGCUGCAAUUCCAGCAUCUCAUGGAGCAAUUCAGCCCUGACCUCUUCCGAAGACUGCUGUCCUUCAGCUCUCCAUCCAUGGACGUGAGGAUGAGGAUGGACAGAGGUCAGGUGGAACACACAACCCCAGCAACACCUGGAGGCGUCACUCCAGCCACUGACCUGACACCUCCAGGUCCACCACAGCUUCUGCAUAGCCAUCACCAUCUUGAACAACACAGCUGUACGAGCCACUGUCAGAGGAGCUCACAGCAGUGAUGCGCAAAUCCAGGUUUCCAUCAGAGAGACCAUCCCUGAGCAGUUCUGUUCUCCCUUUAUAUUCUGUCAUCUGCUCCAGGUCCACUCCGUCUUGGUAGUGGUGCACAAUCCCAGAGGAGCGGUGCUGGAUCCAUCUGAUGUCAGAGCUCCAAGCAUCCUUGCAAGGGGACAAAUGACAACGCAGCACGACGUCCUGUCCCACGUUGGCAGUGACACGGAGGCUCGGUGCCACCACCGUGAGCUGGGCUGGGCAAUGAGAAGGGCACGGAGAGAUGGCGAGAUGGUGGCUGUGUUAAUGUGGGGGCAUGGAGCGGCACAG